UGCUUAGAAGACAGGGGGGGUGCAUUGCCUUCUGGGUACUUGCACGUGAGCAUGAGCGUGCAAGCACGUGAAUAAUUUUUGGCACAGG
Notechis scutatus (mainland tiger snake) is the source of this 88-nucleotide non-coding RNA. Lineage: Eukaryota; Metazoa; Chordata; Lepidosauria; Squamata; Elapidae. The record is from RefSeq and is a predicted model, not a curated record.